UACAGAGGUCUCAAGCGUUGUUCGGAUUCAUUGGGCGUAAAGGGUGCGUAGGUGGCGCGGUAAGUCGGGUGUGAAAUUUCGGAGCUUAACUCCGAAACUGCAUUCGAUACUACCGUGCUUGAGGACUGGAGAGGAGACUGGAAUUUACGGUGUAGCGGUGAAAUGCGUAGAUAUCGUAAGGAAGACCAGUGGCGAAGGCGGGUCUCUGGACAGUUCCUGACGCUGAGGCACGAAGGCCAGGGGAGCAAACGGG
This 253-nucleotide ribosomal RNA is filed under the name uncultured bacterium. Its description in RNAcentral is "partial 16S ribosomal RNA". It matches the Rfam family "Bacterial small subunit ribosomal RNA", at positions 524 to 776 of the family's 1533-position model. The record is from RNAcentral.